RNAcentral lists this microRNA precursor (63 nucleotides) under Triops cancriformis. RNAcentral's name for it is "microRNA tcf-mir-3791 precursor". The record is from miRBase by way of RNAcentral. Lineage: Eukaryota; Metazoa; Arthropoda; Branchiopoda; Notostraca; Triopsidae.
CGGUGAAUUUUGCUAUCGGUGAUGUUAACGUCGGUUUUUCAUCACCGGGUAGAAUUCAUCCAG